ACCUCCCACAAAGGCGUGUCUGUGGCUUCCAUCCAUAGAUACGUAAGAACUGGAGGCAAAGAAAUGAGGGCUGGAAAAGUUCAGGGCUGGCAUACCCUACCCUUGCUAGCCCAGGGACUUCCUGUCCUACAUUA
Vombatus ursinus (common wombat) is the source of this 134-nucleotide small nucleolar RNA. Ensembl annotates it as small nucleolar RNA, H/ACA box 38. NCBI's taxonomy places the organism in Eukaryota, Metazoa, Chordata, Mammalia, Diprotodontia, Vombatidae. The record is from Ensembl.